Oncorhynchus tshawytscha (Chinook salmon) is the source of this 582-nucleotide long non-coding RNA. The record is from Ensembl. NCBI's taxonomy places the organism in Eukaryota, Metazoa, Chordata, Actinopteri, Salmoniformes, Salmonidae.
ACAAUUUGUGCUUAAAGGUCAGUACCUAUCUAGCCUGCCAGAAGUUUGAGAGGGUUAAGACUGUGGCUCAAGAGUGGAAGCCCAUCAAAAUUGUUUCACCAUGUGCCAUGAUCGGACAAUUGUUCAGAGGAUGGGGCUGGAGGGAAAGCUCACAGGUGGUCAGGACUCAAAGAAGUGGGAGAAUUUAAAGAUGUACAUGGACUUGAACAUAUUUCCUACCAGAACAGGGACAGAUCAGGGAGAGGCCACUGCUGAGAGCUGGUUCAAAGUAAUUGUCACGCCCUGGCCUUAGUUAUCUUUGUUUUCUUUAUUAUUUUGGUUAGGCCAGGGUGUGACAUGGGUGAUGUAUGUUUUUUGUCUCAUCUAGGGUGUUUGUACUGUCUAGGUUUUUUUUUUAGAUUUAUGGGGUUGUGUUCAUUCUAGGUGUUUAUGUAAGUCUAUGGUUGCCUAGAUUGGUUCUCAAUCAGAGGCAGGUGUUUAUCGUUGUCUCUGAUUGGGAACCAUAUUUAGGCAGCCAUGUUCUUUGGGUAUUUUGUGGGUGAUUGUUUCCUGUGUCAGUGUUUGUGCCACAUGGGACUGUUU